This 253-nucleotide ribosomal RNA is filed under the name uncultured bacterium. RNAcentral describes it as "partial 16S ribosomal RNA". It matches the Rfam family "Bacterial small subunit ribosomal RNA", at positions 524 to 776 of the family's 1533-position model. The record is from RNAcentral.
UACGAAGGGGGCUAGCGUUGCUCGGAAUCACUGGGCGUAAAGCGCACGUAGGCGGCUUUUUAAGUCAGGGGUGAAAUCCUGGAGCUCAACUCCAGAACUGCCUUUGAUACUGGGGAGCUCGAGUCCGGAAGAGGUGAGUGGAACUCCGAGUGUAGAGGUGAAAUUCGUAGAUAUUCGGAAGAACACCAGUGGCGAAGGCGGCUCACUGGUCCGGUACUGACGCUGAGGUGCGAAAGCGUGGGGAGCAAACAGG